Molecule: ribosomal RNA, 433 nt
Filed under: uncultured bacterium
Lineage: Bacteria
Description: partial 16S ribosomal RNA
Rfam family: Bacterial small subunit ribosomal RNA
Source: RNAcentral
AACGAACGCUGGCGGCAUGCCUAACACAUGCAAGUCGAACGAGACCUUCGGGUCUAGGGUCGCACGGGUUCGUAACCCGUGGGAUCAUGCCCUUAUGUUCGGAAUAACUCUCCGAAAGGGGUGCUAAUACCGGACAAUAUCUUCGGACCAAAGGUUUAUGGCCUUUGGUUGGGCCGGCGUUGGAUUAGCUUUUUGGUAGGGUAAAAGCAUACCACGGCGUCGAUGCAUAGCUUGUCAGUGAGAAUGAUCAGCGACACUGAGGCUGAGAGGCGGCCGAGAAUCGUACGAGAGGACGAAGAGAGGAAUAUUGGACAAUGGGCGAAGGGCUGAUGCAGCAAGGCCGCGUGAGUGAUGAAGUCUUUAGGGUUGAAAAGCGCUUUUAACUGUGAUGAUAAUGACAGUACCGGGAGAAUAAGCGCCGGCUAACUACGUG